GAUGAACGCUAGCUACAGGCUUAACACAUGCAAGUCGAGGGGCAGCGGGAUUGAAGCUUGCUUCAAUUGCCGGCGACCGGCGCACGGGUGAGUAACGCGUAUCCAACCUUCCGCAUACUCGGGGAUAGCCUUCUGAAAAGGAGAUUAAUACCCGAUGGUAUCUUAAGCACGCAUGAGAUUAAGAUUAAAGAUUUAUCGGUAAGCGAUGGGGAUGCGUUCCAUUAGGCAGUUGGCGGGGUAACGGCCCACCAAACCUACGAUGGAUAGGGGUUCUGAGAGGAAGGUCCCCCACAUUGGAACUGAGACACGGUCCAA
Molecule: ribosomal RNA, 315 nt
Filed under: uncultured bacterium
Lineage: Bacteria
Description: bacterial SSU rRNA
Rfam family: Bacterial small subunit ribosomal RNA
Source: RNAcentral